AAAUUGAUCCAAGAAAAAUCCCUUCAUUGUUUUCCUUCAAGAAUCAGAAAAUUGUCCUCCAAGAACAAUAAUUUUAACUCAAUCCAAUGUAUAUAUUAAAAGAACAUGGAAAAAUCCAAUAAUGCGCCAAUUGAGAAUGAUUUCUGUGCGAUAACUUAUUUCUAAUAUUUUCCAAUCCAGAACCAACUCCAUAAAUUGAAUCAGCAAUCACAAAUCACCAACAGUCUAUCCCAAUUCAAAAACCAUAAAGUAGAGUGGAUUGAUACAAUACAAAGCAAAAAACCAAGCUCACGCAAUCGACAAACUGCCGAUGGAAAUGAAAGGUCAUGAAUCACAAGUAAAGACCUGGUGGGGCAACCUCCAAGCUUCAGUUUUGGAAAAGCAACUGUUAUCGAGAGCUUCACUACGGCACCAUCGGCACUUAGGGUUCUGAGAGCACUGAGAUCUUGACAACAUUUCAUUGCAGCUAGGAAUCUGGCCGCGUUCCCUUUUAACUGCCAACAGAUUUCGAUUGGAAGACGAAGAAAAAGAGAUUGAUGUGGGUUCGAGAUGUUGCGCCGAUGAAAAUUGAAAGAGGGUUGAUAGGAAGAUUAAGAGGAUUAGCAUCAAGACAGAUGUUCUUCUACACACCGUUGUCGCCAUGGGGAAGACAAAGACACUUCGAUCUUACUAGCUUAAAUUCAAAUCAGAAAUAAAUGUAUCCCACAUCGCUAGCAUACGCCCUGAGCUCAGGUGUAUUUAUAGCUCAAUGAAAGACUGUCAAGGCACGACCUUACUUGAACAGGAUCUGUUCUAUAGGCUUGUACCUCUGUGUCCUUGUGUUCUAAAGAGACAGGAUAUCAAGUCUGGUGGAUGAACACUGACCGUAUGAUCAGAGCGUGAUUAACAGCCCUGUGAAACCACUAUUCACUGGUGCAGUAGAGGAUCGUUCUCAGCCAUUCAAGGUUGAGAUGAUUAUACGGUUGUCUGACAGACUCUCAUAUGCUUUUUAAAUGAAGUAGAGCCACCAACCACUGCCGGUUUUGUGGAGGAUUAUUUUGUGGUGACUGUUCUAAAGGACGGAGUUUAUUGCCCACAAGGUUUCCAGUUUCAGAUCCCCAACGUGUCUGUGCUGUGUGCGACUUGAGUCCGUCCAACCAUACUUGAUGAACCGAGCAAAUAAUGCUGCUCAGCUGCCAACCCAUGACCUGACAGAUCUCAGUACAUUGAGAUCCUUGGUCAAUUUUCCAUGGGAACAGUCCAUGAAAUAUGAGAUUUACAAGACAACAAACACAAUUCGAGGUUGUAGUAAGGUAGGAUUCAAGUUCCAAGGAUGUUCCAUUAUUGCUUGAUGCAUAUCUCCUUCUGUAAAAGCUGUUUAUAUGCAUAAGCCAAUGAAUUGUGGGAAUCAUUUCUAAGUUUUAAAAAAUACUAUGGAUCUAUCAGGGAGUAUGUUAACUGAGUGAACAUGUUAGUCCACCUCAGAUUUCUUCUUUCGUUGCCCAAAAACCUGGAAAAAUUAUGUCCAGUGGAGGAGCUUGCAUCUAAUUUGGAGAGAUGAACUCUUUGCUUUAAGUUUUUUUAGCUUGAUCAAAGAAUUCUGUAAUGUUCUUAAAAACUGCAUAUUUCUCAGUAUCUUAACUUAAUAUUUCCUCAGAGGUUGGGAUGUCAUUUGACGAAGAGCAAAGGGUCUUGCAAUACUUUCUAUUGCAAAAGUAGGGAUGAUAGUUACCUACAAUAUUGGAACAGGUCUUGUUAUUUUGCUCGUAGAGAAGACGGCUUGUGGUCUCCACCAUCCGCCAUUUCUUUAUUCGGAGUUGGAUGGGGAGCUCAGGCUGGAGGAGAAUUGACAGACUUCAUAAUCGUUUUGCAAACAAAUGAGGCUGUGAAAACAUUUACUAGUCAAUGUGCAUUUCUCCCUUGGAGUUGGCUUGAAUGCAGCAGUUGGCACCGUGGGACAAGCAGUUGAAGCCCAUCUACGGGCUGGAUAUGGUGGCUACGCUGCAUGUUAUACAUAAGCUGCAGUAAAGGUGCAUUCGUUGGAUGUUAAUUGGAAGGAAGCUUUUUCACCACUCACACAAGAGAGAAUUCCUGUUGCUACGGCAGCCAAUCCAUAACUGCAUCAGAUAUACUUCUGGGCUUAACGCCCAUGCCUCUGACUGUAACUAUCCUCUGUCGUGCUCUCAACGAUCUAUACCAGAAGUUUCAGAGAUGAUCUAUUUGAAGUUACGCUGAGAUUAUUUGCUUGUAAAGGGAUACAACGUACAAAGAGAAAAGAAAAAGCAGUGCUUGGAGCAGGACAGUUCUUUAGCCACGAUGUACAGUAUCAAAAGGGUAAAUAUAUAUCAUGAUUUUUCUGUAAAUCACAACUUAGACCUAGAAAGCAAUCACUAAUUUAAGCAUCAUUGUGACCA
This is a long non-coding RNA of Mangifera indica (mango), 2393 nucleotides long. RefSeq lists it as uncharacterized. NCBI's taxonomy places the organism in Eukaryota, Viridiplantae, Streptophyta, Magnoliopsida, Sapindales, Anacardiaceae. The transcript is spliced from 3 exons. The record is from RefSeq and is a predicted model, not a curated record.